Molecule: transfer RNA, 72 nt
Filed under: Phocaeicola vulgatus
Lineage: Bacteria; Pseudomonadati; Bacteroidota; Bacteroidia; Bacteroidales; Bacteroidaceae
Also listed under: 1 other name
Description: tRNA-Phe
Rfam family: tRNA
About the family: Transfer RNA (tRNA) molecules are approximately 80 nucleotides in length.
Source: RNAcentral
GGAUCGUUAGCUCAACGGUAGAGCGCCAGAUUGAAGCUCUGGGCGUAGGUGGUUCGACUCCAUCAUGAUCCA